UGUUUACCAAAAACACAGGUCUCCACAAAAUCGUAAGACCAUGUAUGGGGGCU
This 53-nucleotide ribosomal RNA is filed under the name Olea europaea subsp. europaea. Its description in RNAcentral is "LSU_rRNA_bacteria". The record is from RNAcentral. Lineage: Eukaryota; Viridiplantae; Streptophyta; Magnoliopsida; Lamiales; Oleaceae.